This is a long non-coding RNA of Pan troglodytes (chimpanzee), 513 nucleotides long. RefSeq lists it as uncharacterized. The record is from RefSeq and is a predicted model, not a curated record. The transcript is spliced from 3 exons. Lineage: Eukaryota; Metazoa; Chordata; Mammalia; Primates; Hominidae.
GACCCCGGGCCAGGUCCUGAGCUGGCAGGUUGCAGGGAUUUACAGCAUGACUCCUGUGAGGUUUGAUACUCCUCUUUUCAUCUCACACGUGACGAACUGGAAGCACAGACGUUUAGUUGUUUCCUGAGGGUCACUCAGCAAGCAAACUGUGCUGCUCACGUUGCAACCCAAGGCUGGGGGACUCCAAGGGUAAUACGUGUAUCUGUUUCUGCCACAAGCAGUGUCCUUGGAAGUCUUACAACUCCACAGACCACGUACUUCCUGGGCCAAAGAGCACUCCUAGUCUUUGGGGGGAUAGAAACUGAGAGAAGCAAAGAGAGACCUCCACCUUUCCACGGUGGGACAUGUUAAAGUCCUGUUUGUGGAGAAAAGCUUUCAUGGUUGAAUGAGAGAGUUGCAAUUGUAUCUGUUUCUCUAGAGCAUUGCCAGUUGCACUUUUCAAUAAAAAAUCUUCACAUUUAUGUCCUUAUGGCUGUCCAGAGCAUCAUAGGGUGUCUGAAGAUUUACAGGCAA